UUUCAGGUGAUCAAAAAAAAAAAAAACAACAUCGCAGGAGCAAAAAAUUUACAUCCAAGAGCAUUUCUUCUUGAUCUUGAACCCCAAGUUAUCAACAACAUCAUGAGUUCUUCAUAUGCUUUGUAUAUUCCGAAGAAUGUCUAUCAUCUUCUCGAACCAAGAUGAAAUCAGUGAUGUGGUUGGGUAGCCCUACAACUCCCUUCUAACACCCAGACGCUUGACAAUCUAUUUCGAUUGCGUUGUGGUGUUUGCAACACAGUAGAGAAUUUUAAUCAAAUCAACACUUUGGUGUUGACAAUUAUGUCGGUGAACACAAAAAAACUGUUACAUCCUUCGUGCAUUAAUAAUGUCAUUGGACAGACAUCUCCCCUUAUUCCUUUAAGCAGACUAUGAAUAUAUAAAAAUGAAAACCAGUUGAAGAACGUGGUGAGGUGUCUCCUGCAGUUAAAGAAUAUGAGUGUGUCUACUGGGCCCGAAAAGACAAAUCACCAUCACCUGUUACAUAUCGAUCUUAAAUAUCGAUUCAGGGUCGAACUCAAGUCCAUAUAUGGACUCCAGCGAAUUGGAGAACUUAAACUUGCCCAGUUCAUACCUUUUGGGACAACAAGCAUUCAAAAGACUCUCGCCCGCAGCAGUCCCUGUUCAGAUCAGUGGCAGAGUCGCUCCGGCUUGAUAUUGGGCAAUCACACAUCUGUUCGUUGUUCAAAUACGUCCUGAGCCAAUAAGACAAGCUGAAGAAAAGUUUGAGUAUUCUUUUUGAAUUAAUUCAAACGCGAGGAUGCCUUCAAAGAUGAUCUUUCUGAAUUCGAUGAUUCUGGAUAUGUUAUCGACUAUUUUUUGUAGGAGUAUGAGGCAGCUACACAGCCCAACUAUAUCCACAUGGCCAGAAAAAAGCCACAGGAGGAGAAAGUCUACUUUCUGAAUUGCACCCUAAGAAGUAUUUUUUUUUUAAAUUAAU
Molecule: long non-coding RNA, 958 nt
Organism: Episyrphus balteatus (marmalade hoverfly)
Lineage: Eukaryota; Metazoa; Arthropoda; Insecta; Diptera; Syrphidae
Exons: 3
Source: RefSeq, a predicted model, not a curated record